This 890-nucleotide ribosomal RNA is filed under the name Clonostachys pnagiana. Its description in RNAcentral is "Clonostachys sp. CL-2020b partial large subunit ribosomal RNA". It matches the Rfam family "Eukaryotic large subunit ribosomal RNA", at positions 24 to 946 of the family's 3401-position model. The record is from RNAcentral. Lineage: Eukaryota; Fungi; Ascomycota; Sordariomycetes; Hypocreales; Bionectriaceae.
UUUCCCCCGGGAAAAACUAGCAUAUCAAUAAGCGGAGGAAAAGAAACCAACAGGGAUUGCCCUAGUAACGGCGAGUGAAGCGGCAACAGCUCAAAUUUGAAAUCUGGCGCAAGCCCGAGUUGUAAUUUGUAGAGGAUGUUUCUGGCGACGUGCCUUCCGAGUGCCCUGGAACGGGACGCCAUAGAGGGUGAGAGCCCCGUACGGUUGGAUGCCUAGCCUCUGUGAAACUCCUUCGACGAGUCGAGUAGUUUGGGAAUGCUGCUCUAAAUGGGAGGUAUACGUCUUCUAAAGCUAAAUACCGGCCAGAGACCGAUAGCGCACAAGUAGAGUGAUCGAAAGAUGAAAAGCACUUUGAAAAGAGGGUUAAAAAGUACGUGAAAUUGUUGAAAGGGAAGCGUUCAUGACCAGACUUGGGCAGGUUGAUCAUCCGUGGUUCUCCGCGGUGCACUCUGCCUGCCCAGGCCAGCAUCAGUUCGCCCCGGGGGAUAAAAGCUUUGGGAAUGUGGCUCCUCCGGGAGUGUUAUAGCCCACUGCAUAAUACCCUGGGGUGGACUGAGGUUCGCGCUCUGCAAGGAUGCUGGCGUAAUGGUCAUCAACGACCCGUCUUGAAACACGGACCAAGGAGUCGUCUUCGUAUGCGAGUGUUCGGGUGUCAAACCCCUACGCGUAAUGAAAGUGAACGUAGGAGAGAGCUUCGGCGCAUCUCCGACCGAUCCUGAUGUUCUCGGAUGGAUUUGAGUAAGAGCAUACGGGGCCGGACCCGAAAGAAGGUGAACUAUGCCUGUAUAGGGUGAAGCCAGAGGAAACUCUGGUGGAGGCUCGCAGCGGUUCUGACGUGCAAAUCGAUCGUCAAAUAUGGGCAUGGGGGCGAAAGACUAAUCGACUUUUUG